RNAcentral lists this ribosomal RNA (253 nucleotides) under uncultured bacterium. RNAcentral's name for it is "partial 16S ribosomal RNA". It matches the Rfam family "Bacterial small subunit ribosomal RNA", at positions 524 to 776 of the family's 1533-position model. The record is from RNAcentral.
UACGAACUGUGCGAACGUUAUUCGGAAUCACUGGGCUUACAGGGUGCGUAGGCGGCUUGUUAAGUAGGGUGUGAAAGCCCCCGGCUCAACCGGGGAAUUGCGCCCUAAACUGGCGAGCUGGAGUGAGAUAGGGGUGUGUGGAACUUCCAGUGGAGCGGUGAAAUGUGUUGAUAUUGGAAGGAACACCGGAGGCGAAAGCGGUGUACUGGGGCUGGUCUGACGCUGAGGCACGAAAGCCAGGGGAGCGAACGGG